RNAcentral lists this unclassified non-coding RNA (1108 nucleotides) under Hevea brasiliensis (rubber tree). Lineage: Eukaryota; Viridiplantae; Streptophyta; Magnoliopsida; Malpighiales; Euphorbiaceae. The record is from RNAcentral.
UGCAUACAAUAGAUUCUACAUUAAGUCUAAACAAACAAAGCCCAUUGGUGCCUUCCAAAACAUAAACUCAGAAAAAAGGUGAAUAGUGAGAAGAGACACUGUACGACAUAGCAUUAAUAUUGGAAAAACAGCACCACGGAUUAUUAAAAAGGCAUGAAAUCAUCACCAGCAAUUGCAUGUACAUCCAUCUUGGAAUCCUGAUCGUGAAGGGCUCCCAUUCUUUCAUCCAAUAUUGCUAACUGGGACUUCACCCAGGCUGGAUUAUAUCUACCUUCAACCCAUAAAGCCUCUCCUGUAUCUUUAUGCUUGAAAUCAGGAUAUUUUGGGUUCCUCUUGUUCUUUCUAUUAUCCCACCACUCCAAAGGAUUAGCGAAAAAGGCUUGCCAUAGUUCUUCUGUGGAAACUGUGCUGUUUGUAGCAUUAUUGCCAAACUUUCGACUUGCUACCAUGCUAUCAGAAUCACGAUCAUAUAAUGCUGGUGACCCAGAGCUCCUUUCAAUAAAAUUUAAUUGCUGGACCACUACUUUGUAGUAGGUCUGCUGCUUCCCAUCAUCAUUUUCAACUACAUCUGAAACCAAUCGACCAGAAACAUAUAUUUGGUGGCCUUUUUCAACAUGCUGAGAAGUAACUUGUGCCAGCUCAUCCCAGAACGUCAAACUGAUCCAUGUUGUCUCCGUGGCGGUUUUCUUGACGGCGAGUCUUGUCCACGCAAGGACCUUGCCAGAAGGGAGGUGCUUGAUUUCAACAGGGGUCCCAACAAUGCCAAUGAAAUGCACUGUGUUACAGAGCUCCUUAUUCCAUGGAACCUCCGCCGGUUUAGCAUACUCUACCACCUGAUUGAAGUUGUUGUCUCUGAAAUGAACCGAACAUUUCAAGCUGUGAUUAAAGCGAAAUCGUUCAAUAUCUGUCCGGGGAUAGAAGGACAAGUGGGUUGGGGAUAAAGCAGGGUUUUGGGAGUUUGCGAGAGGGUUCCCUGGAACACGGAGGAAGGUGUUACUGCAACCGGAGGAUGAUAACAGAGCUUGCUCCAACGCCAUCAUUCUUCGUUUUAGCUAGCAGCUAGAAGGGUUUUGGGUUUUGCGAAUUUCAUCUUCUCCUUAUCCUAAUC